Cinara cedri is the source of this 610-nucleotide non-coding RNA. NCBI's taxonomy places the organism in Eukaryota, Metazoa, Arthropoda, Insecta, Hemiptera, Aphididae. The record is from the annotation of a GenBank genome assembly.
AUUUCAUACAUUUUCUCAUUUUUUUUUUUUCGGUUUUUCACAUUUGAUAAGAAAAUUCUUGAGAAAAUCGAAAAUUACUUCUUAAAAAGUACUUUUACGUUCAGAUUUACUUUCAGAAAACGUGUUAAACUUAAAAUCGGAGCAAAAUCUCUGGUAGAAAAGUUGUACGCAGAAAAAAAUUAAAAAUAUACAUCUUUGUAAAACCACAAGCUUCUUCGAUCCACUCAGAAUCUAAAACCAUACAUCAUAGAAAAAUCAAUAAAUCCUUCCCUACUCUUCGAAUCCAAAAAUUGAAAACAUUGUACAUUUCGUAAAUUUUCAAAUAAACAAAUCUCGCCUUGAAAAAUAUAACGGAUCUUAUUGCUGAAAAAAGAACAAUUUAAAAUGAAAUGUAAGUGGACUAUAAACAAUCCUUUAAUUACAAUAUCAUAAUAACAAAUGAUAUAUUAAAUAAUAAAUAUACAAAAGUAAAUAGGUAACGGUACUUACCUUAAAUAAGCUUUCAAAAAUCCAAAUUUUAAAACAUAUCUAAUUGUAAUUAAUAUUAUUUUAAGUUUUACCAAGAAUAAUUUAAUUUUUACGGAAAUAAUUUAUUAAUUCAAACAAGAAA